Molecule: long non-coding RNA, 462 nt
Organism: Orcinus orca (killer whale)
Lineage: Eukaryota; Metazoa; Chordata; Mammalia; Artiodactyla; Delphinidae
Exons: 4
Source: RefSeq, a predicted model, not a curated record
GAAAGAAGCCGCGGCUGCCGCCUGGAGGAGGUGCCGUCGCCUCCGCCACCGCUGCCGCCGCCGCCAGGGGCAGAGAGUGAAACUUUACCUCUGAGUCUGGCUACCCGACCAGAAUGCAUUUAGGAAUCACUGGACUAUUUUACACUUUUCCAGGGAAAGAAAAUAUAUAGCUCAGAAGGGCAGUGGCAAAGGAAUAUGGAAGAGAGCACCAAAAUAAAAAAGCAUCUCAGAAGCCAUGUGUUUACAGAUGAGAAGCCAUUGUACAAUUCGGCAGAGCCAUUAUCAGCCUGGACCCCUGAGUGAAUGAAUGGAGCAGAUUCCCCCAAUCCCACAAUUGGUUUGAAUGUGUAACAGGAGAAAUAAAUUUUGUUGUGUUAAGCCGAAGAGAUGUGUGUUGAAGUUUGUCUACUACAGCAGGUAGUAGAGUUGGAGAACCUAAAUUAAUAUAUUCCCUAAAUGCAG